UGGCGAACGGGUGAGUAACGCGUGGGAAUCUGCCCUGGAGUGGGGAACAACAGUUGGAAACGACUGCUAAUACCGCAUACGCCCUACGGGGGAAAGGCUUCGGCCGCUAUUAGAUGAGCCCGCGUCAGAUUAGCUUGUUGGUAGGGUAAUGGCCUACCAAGGCAACGAUCUGUAGCUGGUCUGAGAGGACGAUCAGCCACACUGGGACUGAGACACGGCCCAGACUCC
Molecule: ribosomal RNA, 228 nt
Filed under: uncultured bacterium
Lineage: Bacteria
Description: partial 16S ribosomal RNA
Rfam family: Bacterial small subunit ribosomal RNA
Source: RNAcentral